CGCGAAAUUAUCGGAACUGUGGAAGUCGGAGACGAACGCCGGAGCUUCUACAGCUCCGGGCGACUGUAAAACAACCCCUAGACUCCGAUCUAGGUAUGAACAUGAAAUAGAAGAUGAGAGGAAUGUUUUUUAUAACGUCCGUUUGCCGUGAAACGGCCGGAGGUGUUCGGAAAGUGCGACGACACCGACGGCCUUGCCGGAGAUGGGUGUGCCUAUCCCGAGUCGAUUUCAUCCCAAAAACCUUGCAAAAAGACGAGAUAUAACUUCAAUUUCACAUCUAAGCUUCGAUCUAGAACAUAAAAAGAAAAACCCAAAGCUUACCUAACCGGAGAAAUAGAAGGAACUCGCCGGAGCAGGUGCGAUGGUGUGCAUGUGGGUUCGACGAGGAGGGAGGAGCAGAGGAGAUGGGUGAUGAGACCUAAAAACCCUUAACCAAACCAUUAUUAAGUUGAGAAGCGUGAGAGUGCUUUGAACACUCUUUCGUGGCCUUCCCACCGUGGUAGGCUCCAAUCGUUUGUGACUCGUACACCGGCUUCACCCUAUCAUGGGGGAGUACAAAGUGCGUGCUUACACUCAGGAGGAGUCUAUAUGGAUACUUGAUGUUGUGAAAGGUAGGCAACGAGAAUAGCCAACAUCAUCUCAUUGUGAGGUUGUUCUUGAACCCCUACCCGAACUUGCAUGGUGGGAAUGACUUAACUAAGUGCAAUAGAGCCAACAUCAUAUCAUUGUGAGGCUACAUUCUCUAGAGGCCAAAUAAGAUGGGUACUUGCAAGCAUGGAAGAAAAUAUCGAUAAUAUCGGCGAUAUAUCACCGAUAUUAUCGAAUUUUCGUUAACCCGAUAUUCUAAGUGGUAUCCAAGGGGUUUUUCGUCAUAAUUUCGCGAUAAUAUCGAUAAUAUCGAUAAUAUCGCGAUAUUAUCGAUAUUAUCGCGAAAUUAUCGGAACUGUGGAAGUCGGAGACGAACGCCGGAGCUUCUACAGCUCCGGGCGACUGUAAAACAACCCCUAGACUCCGAUCUAGGUAUGAACAUGAAAUAGAAGAUGAGAGGAAUGUUUUUAUAACGUCCGUUUGCCGUGAAACGGCCGGAGGUGUUCGGAAAGUGCGACGACACCGACGGCCUUGCCGGAGAUGGGUGUGCCUAUCCCGAGUCGAU
Molecule: long non-coding RNA, 1153 nt
Filed under: Malus domestica (apple)
Lineage: Eukaryota; Viridiplantae; Streptophyta; Magnoliopsida; Rosales; Rosaceae
Description: long non-coding RNA (MDOM_LNC016741)
Source: RNAcentral